GAGUUCCCUCACAAAGACUUAAUAUAAAAAAGGCCCAAAAUGGGCCGAUUAUAAAUAAAUAAAUAAAUAAAUAUAUGAAUAAAUAAAUAAGUUUCCUUUUUUGGACGCAUAAAAAUAACAAAAAUAAAAAGAUUGAAAUAGAAUAAAGCAACAAUGUUUUUUUAUAAGGAAUACGAAUAAAAAGAUUAACCUAAAUCAAGUAAAUACAUAAGGAAAAUAAAAUAAGGAAUGACGAUGUUAAGAAAAUAAAAUUAAUGAAAUUAAACAAAAAAAACUACUAAGGUCAAGGAUUGAACUAAAGGCCUAGGGGGAAACAAAGGAAGUCUCCACCACCAGACCAAAGGCAACUACUUGGAAAAUAAAUACUCCCGUUGGUACAUCAAAAAUGAAAUCGAAAAUUUGAAAGAAAAAAAAUUUUGGGCCCAAAAUUGGGCCGCGGGUCAGCAAACAGGUCGGUUGAGCGACCCAGAUCCAGUACUAAAGAAGUGGAAUUAGUUUUUUUAAAAAUGUUCCCUUACUUCCCAAAACGGCCGAUCCCCCACCCCUCACUUUUUUCAAACGAAAAAACCAGAAAAAGAGGAACUUGAAGUUCUAGCAAUGGAGGAUGGCUUCCCUCACGACCCACCUUCUUCAUCUCAGAUGAAAGCUCUCUCAUCGGACACCCUCUUUCAUUCUCGCGCGACCGCCACAACCCUGGCCGUUUCCUAAACAACACAGCUGUGUAUCAACAACAAAACAGAAUGAAAUACAAAAAAAAAAGCAAAAUCACAAAUCCAAAUCACAC
Molecule: long non-coding RNA, 784 nt
Filed under: Lathyrus oleraceus (garden pea)
Lineage: Eukaryota; Viridiplantae; Streptophyta; Magnoliopsida; Fabales; Fabaceae
Description: Pisum sativum (pea) long non-coding RNA (PSAT_LNC015501)
Source: RNAcentral